Molecule: long non-coding RNA, 728 nt
Organism: Perca fluviatilis (European perch)
Lineage: Eukaryota; Metazoa; Chordata; Actinopteri; Perciformes; Percidae
Exons: 2
Source: RefSeq, a predicted model, not a curated record
UGAGGGGGUGUUUGGCUCGAGGUCAUGCUGCCUGGCUCUUGAUGGCGAGACGGCUAAAGGUUGAGGAUAGAGCAUGGCUGUAUUCAAGAUGUCUUGUAUAGUUAGCAAGUGAUAAGUCUAUAAGUUAAGCUAAAGCUGCAUUUUGUACACAGUAUGUAACUUGUGUCAUUGUGGAACGUUGAUAAAUCAGAAAUCUAUAGUAUUAUGUUUGCAAGUGCCUUAGCUUGCUAAUACAUAACUAACAUUUGCAUACUAACAGCUAAACUUGUCCCCUCUGGUAGUCAAGGGUGCUAAAAUAAUCGUUUGACAAGCUUAAUAAUAAUAAUAAUAAUAAAGUCUAUCUUAUCUCAUCUUAAAUCUCGUGUUUUUAGCCGGCACUUUGUGGAAUUCACCGCCGGUGGGGGCGGGACAUAAAUGUGCGCUCUCUCUCUCUCUCUAUGGAUUCUUGUGUAUGCUCAUGUUCUAUUGGAUUUACCGUUUUUGACAAGAGCCUGUGUUUUUUUGGACUUGUGAUUUUGACUGAACGUUCUUGGAAACCUUCGCUUGGACCUUGCCUUCCAUUUUUGUCUGCCAACCUGUGAACCGAACUCUGCCUGUUUUGCCACUUUGGAUAUUGGACUGAGCCCUGCCUGUACCUCUGCUGGACUUUUUUGAGUUUACGCUGCCUACCAAGUCGCUCUGCCUGGCUGCCUAUUCCUGUGUUUCUUCAUUAAAACCUACAUAAUCUA